This is a long non-coding RNA of Strigops habroptila (Kakapo), 5663 nucleotides long. RefSeq lists it as uncharacterized. The record is from RefSeq and is a predicted model, not a curated record. The transcript has 3 exons. Lineage: Eukaryota; Metazoa; Chordata; Aves; Psittaciformes; Psittacidae.
GCACCCGGCACCCCUGCGGCUGCCGGUACGCUCCCUACGUCCGUCAGCCUGCCCCGAGGGGAGGCGAGGUUGUACUGCCGGGCUGUCGACCCAGCAGCUCUGGCGUUUCACACCCCAUCCCCUGCCGCGGCGCCCCAGGCAGCUUCUCACCACCUUUCCAGCUCCGAGCCGCGGCAUCUGCUCCAUCCUCCGGCUCACCCGGCGCGGCGCGUCCCGCUGAAGGGACCUUCCCCUCCCUUCUUUCCUCCCUCCCCGCGGCCUCGAGUCGCGCCAGUGAUGGAGAGAGCGUCACCGUCUCCUAGCAACGCUCCCAGCAACGCUCCUAGCAACCGGGCAACAUCUGCUCCCGCUGGACCAAUCCGCGCGGGACACAUCUGGGCACCCACCUCCGCGAGCUGCAGGGACCCGCAGGAGCUGCCACCGCCGCCACCGCCGCCACCACCUCCUCCACCGCCACCACCUCCUCCAGGAGCAGCAGCGCUCCCGGCAGCGAGGGCCGGACGGGGAGCAGCCCCCCUCUGGAGCCGGGGCUCGCUGGAGCUGAUCUGAUCGGGGCCUACCAAAGACAUUAACGACGUCGAAAGUAGCCUACUUUAAGAGAAAAUAUGCAGAAGAAGAACAUUUACAUCAAGAUUACCAUGAGUAUUGUCCAGAACACGUGAUACUACCCGAGGACCGGACUUGUAUUUUAAAACUUUCUCUCCAGAAACUCCGAUUCCUGGACGACCCUGAAGCCUACCUCCGUAGGUCUGUAUUAAUUAACAAUCUGUUGAGGAAGAUUCACCUAGAGACAGAGAGGGAGAGCUAUGAAUACUUUAAGGAGGCUUCGUGUUGUAGGACAGCUUACUCUGAUGCACGAAAACGGCUGAAGUUCAUGGUACAGGAGUGCUGUUCCCAGUCGCUCUAUUAUGAAAAGCUGCAUUCAUAUCGCAUCGUGCCUUACUCUGCAGAGAACGCCGUUUAUGGAAUGGGCUACACGAACAGCCACUUGGAGCAAAAUUCUCAAUUGCUUAUUUAUAAAAUGAAUUAAAGCAGCUGUUAGACCCACUGAUGUUUGUUUCUGAAUGCUUGAACUGCUUAUUGAGAUGUUAAGAUGAGGCACUAAUUGCAGAUACACAUGUGAUCAGAGGCGGAUGUGUUCAGAGCUGAGUGGAAGGUACUUUGAAUAAUGCUCUGCAGUCCCCACUGUUAACCCCCUGGUUAUGAAGUACCUUGACAUACACACAGAGCUGGUGCAAUACGGAGGUCCUUAUCCACAGAGACUGCGCGCAAUGUGUUUCAUAGAAACAGAGCUGCGUUUAAGUUAUCUGUGUGUAGAUACAGAUGUUCAAAUUAACUUUGCAGUUAAAUUAUGCCAUCCCCAGUGGAAGGGGAGCCCCCAAAGCAGUGGAGUAGUCUAACAGUGAGAACUAAAAUAUAAGUUAUUUACUGUAAAGCUAUAGAUAGAAAGUUUCUUUGAGAAAUGCUUUGACCAUGAAGGAGCCAGUGCCAAAGGAAACAGCCUUUUGCUUAGGAUUUUCAGAAACUUAACUCACUACUUACAAGACACUCUGUACUGAAAUUUGCAAGGUUUUGGGUUUUGGUUUUUGGGGGUUUUUUUGGUUUUUUUUUUUUUUGGUUUUUUUUUUUUUUUUUUUUUUAAUAAUUGCAUUCACCUUUUACUUAUAUUAUCUCUUAGCUGGUAUCUACUUUGCUAUUUUAAUACAAACCAGAAUGACUCACAGGAAAGAUUGUUUCUUCAGCCCAUCAUCAGUGUUUCCUUAACUUCAUUUGAUUCUUUCCCUAGCUGUUUCCCUGAUACUUCUUUGCAUGCUAAUUUGCUGUUUGGCCAGAGGUUCAUAUUGGUGCUAGGGAAUAGACAGUUAUUUCUUUUUAUGUGGAACAUAAGAGGCAGAAAAACAAUGAUAACUCUCAUAGAUAGAGAAUGGAUGUAUCUGACAGAUGCUAGUAAAACCUCAGAGGUUCAUGAAACUGCUCAACAUUAGUAAUAGUGUUUCGGGUUAAGUGAAAAGUCUAAUUUCAAUCUGGGAAUUAACCUUAGAACAUGUAAAUAUAUAAUUUCACAAGCUAUGACAUGGGAGAUGUUCAGCAAAUGGAUGAUUACAAGUGGAAAGUUUUAUAGCUGCCAAAGCUAUGUAAUGAAAAUACCAAAGAGUAAUAUAAGGGAAAAGAUGAUGCUCCAGCAAUGGGGUCAAAAGCAAAGAUUGCACUAUAACCUGGGGAAAUGUGAUUAACGAGCCUGUAAACUAGCUGUUACCGGUACACCUGCAGUUCACCUGCAGGUGACUUGCAUCCCAGAAUUGCUGAACAAAUAUGUGAGCUGAUCCAAAGCCUGUCAAAGUCCUACAGGUCUGUUGGCUUUGCCUAGCUGGCUAUCACCGCUUUAAAGCGAAGUAAAUAAUAGCGCACGCUCAGCUGGAGGCAGAUAUGUAUCUAAGAACCUAAUUUUUUAUUUCGAAAGGCUUUGCUCAUGCAGAUAUGGCUCAUGCUGUUUCUGAAGCAUUAUACAGUACGAACAAAUAUCAUUACUUGCCAGGGAUGUGCUUCAUGUAGGAUUUCUCCUGUAACCCUAGUCAUGUAUGCUGCAUGUAUCAUUGCAUAUCUCAGGCACGUAUUAGUGCAGAAGAGACGACAGGCAAAUGCAGGAGGUGCAAAGAGCAAAGUUAAUUCCAACAUCAGUAGUUAGAAGCCAGUGCAGGCUUAGGAGAGAGAAGGAAACAGUGAAAUCCAGAUAUUUUGUUUAAACAAACAAACAAAAAGAAAGGGCAACAGUCUAAUUCAAAACAAGGAUAACCUGCAAACUGAAGAACGUAAACAGUACAGAUAUUGUGGGAAGGCUGGAAAAACAGGGCAGUGCUGUUUGGGAGGUACUAUUAGUCAUGAUGAAUGUUCAGGGUUUUGUUUUUAUUUUGAGACAAGUCAUAUUUACUUGUCUCUUACAAAAGGGUGUCUUUAAACCCUCGGUCGGUGUAAUUCGGUGUCAGAGCUGCUUUGCCAUUUGUGGUUAUAUUCCUGAUGCCCCUGGGCUCACACAAGCCCAAAAUCAUGUGAGUGUUUAAGCUGGUAUGAGGCCUUUUGUGAGAGGUGCCAUUACCCCCCAAAGAGCUCUCUGGCCUCAGCUAGCAGCUUGCAUGCCUCAUGCAGACUUAGGGGCAGGGAUAGGGACCUUAGAAGACUGAGAGGUAGCAAAGGAAAAUUACUCCUGUCUUCUGAUUUUUCAAACUAUGUAAUUUUCCUCUCUGAAGUGAUCUGAUUUAUACACAUUUUUUUCUUUGUGUCCAUUUUUGCCUGAAUUCAUAAUGAUCUAGCAGCUACAUGAAAUACUAGAAUGAUGGUUUUUUCUCUGCCUGCCCUACUUUUAUAUUCAUAGGAUGGUUCUGGCCUGAAUAAACAAAACUUUUUACAUAAAAUUAAUCAUGUUUCAAUGGAAUGAAAAAGCUCAGUAGGAUUAAAGCCUUUGACCUCACCUGAAAAAAUCCAUUGCCCUUGUCAGAUUUAUCAUCUUUGAAGAGCAACUUUUUAGCCUGCUGGAAGAGGCAGAUACUUUCUUGCCCAUUGAAAGCUUCUUGGCAAGGUGUUACGACAUCUAGACAGAUGUAACAGACAAAAAUCUGGAUCAGAUAACAACACUCCUUGGGCUACCUGUGAAAGAGGACAGUAUUUACUCAGAUUUUUCUCAUGUGUUGUUUUUGCGAACAAAAAACAUUGCCUGAUUUUAUUUUUUUUUUUUUUACUCCUACUAGCUCUAGGAGCUGUUAAAAUGGGUUAUUUCUUUCUAGAAAACAAAUUGGUUUUUAUGGUUGACUUUUUGACAUGAAGUUGAAUCAAAGGCCACAAUCUUAAAUAUUUUAAGCUUGCUCAAGUUUUUACUGCCUUCUGCUUUGCACAGUGAUUUGUGCUGUUGAAAAGUGGGUCUGAAAUAUUCUACUUUAGUGCUUACAACCCAUAGUUUAUGGGUGAUAGAGAAGUACAAAAGUGCAAUAACAUUGCAAGUUACUCCCAAAAUAUUUAAUUUGACACUUUUUGAAUUAUAUACUGAUUUUAACAUUUAGUUACCAAGUUACUGGUUACCAGCAUUUUAAUACAGCUAGAUACAGUGAUUUUUCUUUUUUGGGUUUGUAGCUACAAUUCAGCUCUUCUGGCUUCUGAUGUGUGAAUCUGUCUGUAGGUGGUCAACUUUCAGUGAUAUAUAUAUAUUCUAUUAUGACUGCAUUAGGAACUCCCACAUAUGGGGUAUGUUUGCACCGGAUGUAAAGAAAGUCCUUCCUUCCCUUUGACUCAGUUGCCUUGGAGACAGUAUAUUCAUCAGAGAGAAUAUAGAUGAGCUGGGUGACAAGGACAGAGUUGGUAAUGAUAGCGGAUCAUUUUGAAAGUGACUGGCUUAGGACAACUCAUUUUUGUCUUGGAAUAGCAGCACACUUGACUGUAAUUAGUGUUUCAAUGAGUUAAGUUUUCUUUGUGCUGCUUUUUCCUUAACUGUAAAUGCUGGGCCUGAUCCUGGAUGCAGAAGGGUCUGUGGUGGCUUUGUUGGAGGCAUGGUGUGAGUGCGUGCAUGGGGUCACCUUCUGGAGCCACAGGACCUGUGGCUGAAGGCCAGAAGGGUGCACAUGCUGGGAGGCAGCCAGGCUCAGCAGGGUGGCAUCUCUGCCUGUGCGACCUGAUGCAGUCACCCCAACCAGUUAGGGCCCUGAUCCUGUAAACACUUCAGUUAUCAUCUAAGUUUCUUUGCACAGAUCCUCUCGCUAAAGCCAGAGAGGCUCCUCGCGUGCUUGUCGCUCAGCAUGUAUGAGUGUGUACAGGGCUGGGGCUUCUAUGCACUGCAGAAGUACUCACUCCUCAAUUGCCUAAUUAUCUUAAUUAUCAGUGAAAGUGAUUAUUGAGCUGCCACUUGAGUUCUUGACUACAUUUAUAUUGCACUGUAAAUUGAACUUUUGUUUUCAAUGAAUGUGUUGAGUAUAUGGACUAUCGUGCCUUAAAGUCCCAUCCUCAUAUGAGCCUUUGUAUAUGUUCUGUAAAUCUGCAAACUGUCUGUAGCUGAUAACUCUGUGCACUCUAUACAGAUCCGGUUUGGUACUCAGCAGGACCUUGGGAAACAUGACCCUGACCUCAGUUUGCCAUGAACACAGAGGGGAUGUGGCAAUUCCCUCUUCUCUUCUUUUUUAGAUUGCUUUCCUCUUUGCUGUUCAUGAGAUUCUGUUUUUCUGGUUUCUGUCAUAGCUGGGUUCUGGGUUACCCACAAUGCCAGGUAACCUCACGGAAACCCAGAAAGUUGUAAAAAAGUUGUCUCCAGCUUUUAAAGGCCAUCUGUACAGCGCGCUCUCAGCAGGGGAUCACAAUUGCAUAUAUCAACUGUGGCAGGUGUUGUCAAGUAUAUCAGCAUAUAUUUGACAGGAUUAACAAAGCAGAAAAGGGAAUACCUAUUUCUACUGAAAUGCAUGAGCCUGCAUUAUGUUAAAUACAUGGUGAUUAUACACCACUUAAUUGGAAUAAUACCUACUGGUUCUAUAAUAAAAAAAUGCUUUUUAAUGUUUAAAGUUACUUGGGACCUGAUUGAAGGUUUUUAUGAAAUUGUUUUCUAAAGUGAAUAGUAGAAAAAUGUAUAUGUAUUUUAAAUAUACAUAUGAUGUGCAUGAUAUUAAUAAAGAUCUAUUUCUAUUGAACCA